Molecule: long non-coding RNA, 414 nt
Filed under: Elaeis guineensis (African oil palm)
Lineage: Eukaryota; Viridiplantae; Streptophyta; Magnoliopsida; Arecales; Arecaceae
Description: long non-coding RNA (EGUI_LNC059089)
Source: RNAcentral
UGGCAAGUCACGACAACGGACACCACUCCACUCUCCGUACAAACUCCACGUGGCCCUAAAUGACCCCUGACACCACUACUCUCCGUAACAAACUCUGCGCGGCUCUGAACGGCCCACUACCAGACGGUUACAGACGUCGCUGUCAAUCAGUUACGCUCUCCAUCUAUAAAAAGAGAUCCCCAGAUACAUUCUUCUCAAGCUCUAAACUCUAUCUCAAAAUUCUGCUAAAAUUCUCACUCGAGCACUCCAUUUCUGUUGAAGCAGAGUACUGACUUGAGCAUCGAAGGGUCUUGCCGGAGCACCCCCAACUCCAGUUUAGACUUCCCUUGCAGGUCCCGAUGGCGGCCACAGUCAUCUCAACUCCAGCAACUCCGGCUUCAGCAAAAUUCUGCACCAACAACAUGCAUCUAAUAC